GCUGAAGAUUGGUACUUGUACCGAUUGGAUGAGUUGCGAACGGGUGAGUAACGCGUAGGUAACCUGCCUUGUAGCGGGGGAUAACUAUUGGAAACGAUAGCUAAUACCGCAUAACAAUGGCUGACACAUGUCAGUGAUUUAAAAGGGGCAAUUGCUCCACUACAAGAUGGACCUGCGUUGUAUUAGCUAGUUGGUGGGGUAACGGCUCACCAAGGCGACGAUACAUAGCCGACCUGAGAGGGUGAUCGGCCACACUGGGACUGAGACACGGCCCAGACUCCUACGGGAGGCAGCAGUAGGGAAUCUUCGGCAAUGGGGGCAACCCUGACCGAGCAACGCCGCGUGAGUGAAGAAGGUUUUCGGAUCGUAAAGCUCUGUUGUAAGCGAAGAACGUGUGUGGGAGUGGAAAAUCCACACAAUGACGGUAGCUUACCAGAAAGGGACGGCUAACUACGUGCCAGCAGCCGCGGUAAUACGUAGGUCCCGAGCGUUAUCCGGAUUUAUUGGGCGUAAAGCGAGCGCAGGCGGUUAGAUAAGUCUGAAGUUAAAGGCUGUGGCUCAACCAUAGUUUGCUUUGGAAACUGUUUAACUUGAGUGCAAGAGGGGAGAGUGGAAUUCCAUGUGUAGCGGUGAAAUGCGUAGAUAUAUGGAGGAACACCUGUGGCGAAAGCGGCUCUCUGGCUUGUAACUGACGCUGAGGCUCGAAAGCGUGGGUAGCGAACAGGAUUAGAUACCCUGGUAGUCCACGCCGUAAACGAUGAGUGCUAGGUGUUAGGCCCUUUCCGGGGCUUAGUGCCGCAGCUAACGCAUUAAGCACUCCGCCUGGGGAGUACGACCGCAAGGUUGAAACUCAAAGGAAUUGACGGGGGCCCGCACAAGCGGUGGAGCAUGUGGUUUAAUUCGAAGCAACGCGAAGAACCUUA
RNAcentral lists this ribosomal RNA (923 nucleotides) under uncultured Streptococcus sp. Its description in RNAcentral is "bacterial SSU rRNA". It matches the Rfam family "Bacterial small subunit ribosomal RNA", at positions 66 to 973 of the family's 1533-position model. The record is from RNAcentral. Lineage: Bacteria; Bacillati; Bacillota; Bacilli; Lactobacillales; Streptococcaceae.